RNAcentral lists this long non-coding RNA (290 nucleotides) under Physcomitrium patens. Its description in RNAcentral is "long non-coding RNA (PPAT_LNC009304)". Lineage: Eukaryota; Viridiplantae; Streptophyta; Bryopsida; Funariales; Funariaceae. The record is from RNAcentral.
GGUUAAGAUCUCAAAAAUUGGACUUUAAGAGGCUGUUAGGAUUUCCAAGUUCUUCAGCAAUUUACUAGUUGAAUUGAGAUAUUAAUUAUAUUUAAAAAUAAUAGACUUAAUUUUCUACAUAUAUAUGAAAUUUAAAAAUAAUUAAAUAGUUUGAUAAGGAGAUAUUGGUGCUAGAAGUUCAACAUUUAGAUCGGAGGAGGAGGCCAACCAACACUCGAGCAGAAUUUAGAUUUUUUUUUUUUCUAUUUGGAAAGUAAAAUUAUCUUCAAAUUUUGUAUACUUGUUGUUAA